Molecule: ribosomal RNA, 498 nt
Filed under: uncultured Glomeromycotina
Lineage: Eukaryota; Fungi; Glomeromycota
Description: partial small subunit ribosomal RNA
Rfam family: Eukaryotic small subunit ribosomal RNA
Source: RNAcentral
CCAAUAGCGUAUAUUAAAGUUGUUGCAGUUAAAAAGCUCGUAGUUGAAUUUCGGGAUCAGUACGUUGGUCGUGCCUUCGGUACGUACUGGCGUUACUGGUUCCUACCUUCUGAGGAACCGUCAUGUCAUUAAUUUGGUGUGGUGGGAAAUCAGGACUGUUACUUUGAAAAAAUUAGAGUGUUUAAAGCAGGCUCGCGCUUGAAUACAUUAGCAUGGAAUAAUGAAAUAGGACGUUCGAUCCUAUUUUGUUGGUUUCUAGGAUUGACGUAAUGAUUAAUAGGGAUAGUUGGGGGCAUUAGUAUUCAAUUGUCAGAGGUGAAAUUCUUGGAUUUAUUGAAGACUAACUGCUGCGAAAGCAUUUGCCAAGGAUGUUUUCAUUAAUCAAGAACGAAAGUUAGGGGAUCGAAGACGAUCAGAUACCGUCGUAGUCUUAACCAUAAACUAUGCCGACUAGGGAUCGGAUGAUGUUAUUUUUAAUGACUCAUUCGGCGCCUUACG